Molecule: transfer RNA, 70 nt
Filed under: Chauliodus sloani (Sloane's viperfish)
Lineage: Eukaryota; Metazoa; Chordata; Actinopteri; Stomiiformes; Stomiidae
Description: tRNA-Ser (AGY)
Source: RNAcentral
GAGAGAAGCCCGGUAGGCCGCAGAAACUGCUAAUUUCCUGCCCCCAGAGUUCAACCCCCUGGUUCACUCG